This 176-nucleotide ribosomal RNA is filed under the name uncultured bacterium. Its description in RNAcentral is "partial 16S ribosomal RNA". It matches the Rfam family "Bacterial small subunit ribosomal RNA", at positions 1325 to 1500 of the family's 1533-position model. The record is from RNAcentral.
GCUGGAAUCGCUAGUAAUCGCGGAUCAGAAUGCCGCGGUGAAUACGUUCCCGGGUCUUGUACACACCGCCCGUCACACCAUGGGAGUCAGUAACGCCCGAAGUCAGUGACCCAACCUUAGGGAGGGAGCUGCCGAAGGCGGGACGGAUAACUGGGGUGAAGUCGUAACAAGGUAUC